This 171-nucleotide non-coding RNA is filed under the name Pseudomonas japonica. Lineage: Bacteria; Pseudomonadati; Pseudomonadota; Gammaproteobacteria; Pseudomonadales; Pseudomonadaceae. The record is from RNAcentral.
GACGCCGUGAGGCCAAGCUGAAAGAAGCGCGUAGCGAAGGCGCGACCGCAGGAACACGAACAGGCAGCGAGGCUGGAUGUGGGCGAUUAGCGUGCUGGGAACCGCGAAAUCCAACCGUCACCGAAAGACGCAUCCAGUAGAGCCUGGCGGCACGAGCCGAAGGUUUUGGCA